This 535-nucleotide ribosomal RNA is filed under the name Myxine sp. NPM 1627.300. RNAcentral describes it as "partial 16S ribosomal RNA". It matches the Rfam family "Bacterial large subunit ribosomal RNA", at positions 1843 to 2606 of the family's 2925-position model. Lineage: Eukaryota; Metazoa; Chordata; Myxini; Myxiniformes; Myxinidae. The record is from RNAcentral.
AUAUAAUAAGUCCUGCCUGCCCAGUGAUUUUUUCAACGGCCAUCUUUGAUGAUAACGUAGCAUAAUCAAUUGUCUAUUAAUUGUAGACUAGAAUGAAUGGAUUAACGAAAGCCGAACUGUCUCCUGAUUCCUAUCAAUGAAAUUAACCUCUCUGUCCAAAGGCAGAGAUCAGCCUAUAAGACGAAAAGACCCUAAAAGCUUCAAAUAUUAGAUUAAUCUACCUUAAACAACAACUAAAGAAAAGUUUUAAUUCUUAAAAUUUGGUUGGGGCAACCAUUGAUAUUAAAAAAUCAUCAAUAAUUUAACUAAAAGCCUAUAUAAUAUCAGAGUUACACCUCGAUUAAAUAAGAAACUUAUAAAAAUGAUCCAGAAAACUGAUCAAUGAACAAGUUACUUUAGGGAUAACAGCGCUAUUUCUUUUUAAAGUUCCCAUCGACAAAGAAGCUUACGACCUCGAUGUUGGAUUAAGAUAUCCAAGUGGUGCAAAAGCUACUAAGGGUUUCGUUUGUUCAACGAAUAAUAUCUUACGUGAUCG